UGGGGAAUAUUGGACAAUGGGCGAAAGCCUGAUCCAGCCAUGCCGCGUGUGUGAAGAAGGUCUUCGGAUUGUAAAGCACUUUAAGUUGGGAGGAAGGGCAGUAAAUUAAUACUUUGCUGUUUUGACGUUACCGACAGAAUAAGCACCGGCUAACUCUGUGCCAGCAGCCGCGGUAAUACAGAGGGUGCAAGCGUUAAUCGGAAUUACUGGGCGUAAAGCGCGCGUAGGUGGUUCGUUAAGUUGGAUGUGAAAUCCCCGGGCUCAACCUGGGAACUGCAUUCAAAACUGACGAGCUAGAGUAUGGUAGAGGGUGGUGGAAUUUCCUGUGUAGCGGUGAAAUGCGUAGAUAUAGGAAGGAACACCAGUGGCGAAGGCGACCACCUGGACUGAUACUGACACUGAGGUGCGAAAGCGUGGGGAGCAAACAGGA
Molecule: ribosomal RNA, 430 nt
Filed under: uncultured bacterium
Lineage: Bacteria
Description: partial 16S ribosomal RNA
Rfam family: Bacterial small subunit ribosomal RNA
Source: RNAcentral